RNAcentral lists this ribosomal RNA (253 nucleotides) under uncultured bacterium. RNAcentral's name for it is "partial 16S ribosomal RNA". It matches the Rfam family "Bacterial small subunit ribosomal RNA", at positions 524 to 776 of the family's 1533-position model. The record is from RNAcentral.
UACGGAGGGUCCAAGCGUUGUCCGGAUUCAUUGGGUGUAAAGGGUGCGCAGGCGGGCCUGUAAGUCAGAGGUGAAAUCCCACGGCCUAACCGUGGAACUGCCUUUGAUACUGCAGGUCUUGAGUCCUGGAGAGGUCGCCGGAAUUCGUGGUGUAGCGGUGAAAUGCGUAGAUAUCACGAGGAACGCCGGAGGUGUAGACGGGUGACUGGACAGGUACUGACGCUCAGGCACGAAAGCGUGGGGAGCAAACAGG